AAUAGAUACCCAGGUAGUCCACGCCGUAAACGAUGAGUGCUAAGUGUUAGGGGGUUUCCGCCCCUUAGUGCUGCAGCUAACGCAUUAAGCACUCCGCCUGGGGAGUACGGUCGCAAGACUGAAACUCAAAGGAAUUGACGGGGGCCCGCACAAGCGGUGGAGCAUGUGGUUUAAUUCGAAGCAACGCGAAGAACCUUACCAGGUCUUGACAUCCCGCUGAUCGGCCUAGAGAUAGGCUUUUCCCUUCGGGGACAGCGGUGACAGGUGGUGCAUGGUUGUCGUCAGCUCGUGUCGUGAGAUGUUGGGUUAAGUCCCGCAACGAGCGCAACCCUUGAUCUUAGUUGCCAGCAUUCAGUUGGGCACUCUAAGGUGACUGCCGGUGAUAAACCGGAGGAAGGUGGGGAUGACGUCAAAUCAUCAUGCCCCUUAUGACCUGGGCUACACACGUGCUACAAUGGACGGUACAGAGGGUCGCAACCCCGCGAGGGUGAGCUAAUCCCAUAAAACCGUUCUCAGUUCGGAUUGUAGGCUGC
Molecule: ribosomal RNA, 533 nt
Filed under: uncultured bacterium
Lineage: Bacteria
Description: bacterial SSU rRNA
Rfam family: Bacterial small subunit ribosomal RNA
Source: RNAcentral